UACGGAGGAUGCGAGCGUUAUCCGGAUUUAUUGGGUUUAAAGGGUGCGUAGGCGGGAUGCCAAGUCAGCGGUAGAAAUGCGGUGCUCAACGCCGUCGAGCCGUUGAAACUGGCGUUCUUGAGUGGGCGAGAAGUAUGCGGAAUGCGUGGUGUAGCGGUGAAAUGCAUAGAUAUCACGCAGAACUCCGAUUGCGAAGGCAGCAUACCGGCGCCCUACUGACGUUGAGGCACGAAAGCGUGGGUAUCGAACAGG
RNAcentral lists this ribosomal RNA (252 nucleotides) under uncultured bacterium. RNAcentral describes it as "partial 16S ribosomal RNA". It matches the Rfam family "Bacterial small subunit ribosomal RNA", at positions 524 to 776 of the family's 1533-position model. The record is from RNAcentral.